GGGGACAACCCGCCGAAAGGCGGGCUAAACCCGCGUACAUGCCACCGGGGCAUCCCGGAGGCAGGAAAGGCUUCGGCCGGACAGGGAUGGGCAUGCGGCGCAUUAGGCAGUAGGCGGGGUAACGGCCCACCUAACCGACGAUGCGUAGGGGUUCUGAGAGGAAGGUCCCCCACACUGGUACUGAGACACGGACCAGACUCCUACGGGAGGCAGCAGUGAGGAAUAUUGGUCAAUGGUCGGGAGACUGAACCAGCCAAGCCGCGUGAGGGAUGAAGGUACAGAGCAUCGUAAACCUCUUUUGUCAGGGAACAAAGGCGGGGACGUGUCCCCGGAUGAGUGUACCUGAAGAAAAAGCAUCGGCUAACUCCGUGCCAGCAGCCGCGGUAAUACGGAGGAUGCGAGCGUUAUCCGGAUUUAUUGGGUUUAAAGGGUGCGCAGGCGGUCUGUUAAGUCAGCGGUCAAAGCCCGGGGCUCAACCCCGGCCCGCCGUUGAAACUGGCAGUCUCGAGUUGGAGAGAAGUAUGCGGAAUGCGCGGUGUAGCGGUGAAAUGCAUAGAUAUCGCGCAGAACUCCGAUUGCGAAGGCAGCAUGCCGGCUCCACACUGACGCUGAGGCACGAAAGCGUGGGUAUCGAACAGGAUUAGAUACCCUGGUAGUCCACGCAGUAAACGAUGAA
This 676-nucleotide ribosomal RNA is filed under the name uncultured bacterium. RNAcentral describes it as "bacterial SSU rRNA". It matches the Rfam family "Bacterial small subunit ribosomal RNA", at positions 139 to 813 of the family's 1533-position model. The record is from RNAcentral.